Molecule: long non-coding RNA, 537 nt
Organism: Melitaea cinxia (Glanville fritillary)
Lineage: Eukaryota; Metazoa; Arthropoda; Insecta; Lepidoptera; Nymphalidae
Exons: 2
Source: RefSeq, a predicted model, not a curated record
AAUGCAAUCGAUGAACACAUCCGUCAUACUCCGCCAUUUGCGAAAGAAAGGUCGAUCGCUGCUCUGCAGCGCAAGUGUCAUCGGUUCGACUAUGUCGAGUGUUUGAAAAAAAUAUUUAUUUUUUGGAAAACUGUGAACUCAGUGCUGUCAUUUAAACAGUUAAAAUGAUUGUGAGAUAUUUGGUCUUUCUGUGCUUUGGAGUUUUGGUGGCUUCGGCACACAAUGACGAGGGAAACAACGACAAUGAAGAUAAUACGGUGCGAUUGGUGUAAGAAACUGGUCGUGUAGGUGUGAGGCGAACCGGCCUGACCACUUCUGAUGCACACACGGCUACCUUCCCUCAGGUGGGCGUGCGCGAGAUUUGCAGUUGAUUCACGAUCGUAGUUUUACAGAAUUGCAUACACGUUUAAACAACCACCAAAUAAUUUUAUUAUAUUGUACUUUACAAUCUUUAAAGUUGGUAAAAGGUAUUGAUACAUUGCAAUGUAUUGUAAUACAUGUUUAUGUACUUUCUUUGUAAUACAUGUAUUUCAAUGU